RNAcentral lists this long non-coding RNA (2106 nucleotides) under Mytilus galloprovincialis (Mediterranean mussel). The record is from RNAcentral. Lineage: Eukaryota; Metazoa; Mollusca; Bivalvia; Mytilida; Mytilidae.
GAACUGCUAAGGAAUUUGGAAUGUGUGCUGCAAGAGCGCUGUCACCCUGUAGCCAAGAUCUCAGUCAGCUUGGACAGAAUAUCAUCAAUGAACUUCUCAGACUGGACUGUGGAGGCUCACGACCUUUGACAAGAUAUCUCACAAAUGGAACACAGAAGAUUCCAUUGAAAUUUACUUUGUUUUCAAGCAUCUUCUUACUGAUGCACUUCAUGGUAUGGUGAGGUAGAAAGAUUGUUAGUUUUCUAUGUUGUGUCUGUUGUACUAUUAUUUGUCCUUUGUUUUUUUCUUUUUUAGCCAUGGCGUUGUCAGUUAAUUUUCUAUGUAUGAGUUUGGCUGCUGUCCAUCUGGUAUCUUUCGCCCCCCGUUUUUAAAGCCUAUUCACUCAAAUAUAAAAGUAUAUAUGAUCUUGAAUUAUAUUUCUCGGUUGCUUUACUGAUUACUAGUAUAUCUUAAUUUCAUAUCGAAAGUUUUUAGAAAUUUAGUAGGAAUUUACCGUUAUCAAUGAUUCUUUCAAAUGAGGUUAAGUUCAUAUAAACAUGUCAACCAAAUAUAGAUUCCCUUCAAGAAUUUUUAGUAUAGGAAAUACUUGAAGAUGGCACAAGAAAAUGAGUGGAGGCCAGAUGAACAAUGUGAUCGGUACAAAUGAAGUUCUGAUUGUACAUUUCAUGCCGUCUGUAUUUUCCUAUUUAUGAAACAUCCCCUCCCGGAUAUGUGUCAAUCUGGGAUAAUAUACGAGUGGUGGUAUGCAGAUGUGAAAAUGGAUCAAAAAUCAACAUUCAUGUGCUUUUGGAUCAGUAUCUGUUCUAUUUCUAUGAUUAGUAUUUAUAAGUGUGCACAUAUGAAUGAGUUCACUUAAAUGACUAUUUUACUGUACAAUGUUCACUAUAUUUAUGAUUCAUAACAUCCGUUCUUGAAAUUUUUCGUUGGUUAUUUAGAAUUAAGAAACUAAGGUUCCAGCUCCAACUGGCUAAGUUGACCGUAGGUCGAUUUUGCGAUUCUUUUCAAUCCCAUUUGAUAAUAUAGGAGAUCUCAGUAUUCAUAUACACUCGUCUAUUUGUGGGUGUGAGCUGAUUGAAGUAAUUCACGUAAAGAGCUUCGGACUAGUUUUGUUUUCAUUUCAUUACCAUCGUAUUCAAUAUACAGCUGUUCAGCUGUUAUAGCUUCGAUUCUUAAAACUUCCCUUGGAUGGCAUCGGAUUGUUAAAAGACAAUCACGGGGUCAUCCAAGACCUUAUCGCUUUUUGAGAAUCUGCGACAGUUGAGCUUUGUGACGUCCGAUAAUUUCUUCCGCUUGUCCUCUUCGAUAAAAUUACUUCACAGAGUUAGCAAUCGUAAUUCGGAUGUCAUAUUUAGUGAAUUAUAUAGAAAACAGAAAUUGUAAAAAACAAAAGUAAAUUUGUGUUUGAGGCCAAAUGCAUUGCAUACAAUCCCCCGGUGUAAGUUGCCUUGAUUUAUGAAUGUCUGUUUUACAAAGCUAAUAAAAAUAGAAAAAAUAAAAAAAAAAAGAUUCUCGGCUUUUAUUUCAAUACACGGUUAGUUGUAGUAUUGAAUCCCUUUGUAAAAAAAAACACGGUGUUGACGAAGAAUCUGAAAGGUUUCAAUAGACGAAGAAAUUGAUGAUGAACGAUUGAAAUAAGUGCAGAAAACGCAUUGAAAGCUAACAAGUUGUUAUAGUUGUCAUUUGUUUUUGUAAAGGCCGAUGGAAGUAGGUUCUUGAUGAAGACUUGCAUGAUCACUUAAGCUGAAUACCACAUGCUAAAAUAGUACGUAGGCUAAAUUCGUUAGUGUUCUAGUGGCCUAAUACGAUACAUACGGUGUCGGUAAAUUCCAUAUGGGUUGAGAGCGAAUAUGGGAUAAGUGAAUUACAGAUGGGGUUAGAGCGAAUUUACUGACCCCUUAUAUCGGUUUAUCGUAUAAGGUCACUAGAACUCUAAUACCAAAACUUAUAAUAUGCAGUAGUUAAACAAACAAAAAAACUGAGCUGAAGACCAAUAUCUGCUUCGAAAACUGGUUUUCAAUUGAUUGAUGUAUUUGAGCUUUUGAUUUUUUCAUUUGAUAAAGGACUUUCAAAUUUGAGUUUUCCUUUAUAUUCGUUUUUUUAUACUUU